Molecule: ribosomal RNA, 340 nt
Filed under: uncultured Bacillota bacterium
Lineage: Bacteria; Bacillati; Bacillota
Description: bacterial SSU rRNA
Rfam family: Bacterial small subunit ribosomal RNA
Source: RNAcentral
GAUGAACGCUGGCGGCGUGCUUAACACAUGCAAGUCGAGCGGAGAUGUUUAAAGGAAGUUUUCGGAUGGAAUUCAAAUAUCUUAGCGGCGGACGGGUGAGUAACGCGUGGGUAACCUGCCUCAUACAGGGGGAUAACAGUUAGAAAUGACUGCUAAUACCGCAUAAGCGCACAGUGCUGCAUAGCACAGUGUGAAAAACUCCGGUGGUAUGAGAUGGACCCGCGUCUGAUUAGGUAGUUGGUAGGGUAACGGCCUACCAAGCCGACGAUCAGUAGCCGACCUGAGAGGGUGACCGGCCACAUUGGGACUGAGACACGGCCCAAACUCCUACGGGAGGCUG